Molecule: transfer RNA, 72 nt
Filed under: Camelus bactrianus (Bactrian camel)
Lineage: Eukaryota; Metazoa; Chordata; Mammalia; Artiodactyla; Camelidae
Also listed under: 3 other names
Rfam family: tRNA
About the family: Transfer RNA (tRNA) molecules are approximately 80 nucleotides in length. Their secondary structure includes four short double-helical elements and three loops (D, anti-codon, and T loops). Further hydrogen bonds mediate the characteristic L-shaped molecular structure. tRNAs have two regions of fundamental functional importance: the anti-codon, which is responsible for specific mRNA codon recognition, and the 3' end, to which the tRNAs corresponding amino acid is attached (by aminoacyl-tRNA synthetases). tRNAs cope with the degeneracy of the genetic code in two manners: having more than one tRNA (with a specific anti-codon) for a particular amino acid; and 'wobble' base-pairing, i.e. permitting non-standard base-pairing at the 3rd anti-codon position.
Source: Rfam by way of RNAcentral
GAGGGUGUAGCUCAGUGGGAGAGAGUGUGUUUAGCAUGCAUAAGGUCCUGGGUUCAAUCCCCAGUACUUCUG